RNAcentral lists this ribosomal RNA (301 nucleotides) under uncultured bacterium. RNAcentral's name for it is "partial 16S ribosomal RNA". It matches the Rfam family "Bacterial small subunit ribosomal RNA", at positions 509 to 808 of the family's 1533-position model. The record is from RNAcentral.
CAGUAGCCGCGGUAAUACGGAGGGAGCUAGCGUUGUUCGGAAUUACUGGGCGUAAAGCGCACGUAGGCGGCUUUGUAAGUCAGAGGUGAAAGCCUGGAGCUCAACUCCAGAACUGCCUUUGAGACUGCAUCGCUUGAAUCCAGGAGAGGUGAGUGGAAUUCCGAGUGUAGAGGUGAAAUUCGUAGAUAUUCGGAAGAACACCAGUGGCGAAGGCGGCUCACUGGACUGGUAUUGACGCUGAGGUGCGAAAGCGUGGGAGCAACCAGGAUUAGAUACCCCGGUAGUCCCUGUCUCUUAUACA